GAUGAACGCUGGCGGCAUGCCUAAUACAUGCAAGUCGUGCGGGGGUCUUCGGACCCUAGCGGCGAACGGGUGAGUAACACGUGGGCAACCUGCCCGUAAGACUGGGAUAACUCCGGGAAACCGGUGCUAAUACCAGAUAAUCUCUUUCUCCGCAUGGAGAAAGAGUAAAAGGCUUCGGCCACUUACGGAUGGGCCCGCGGCGCAUUAGCUGGUUGGUGAGGUAACGGCUCACCAAGGCGACGAUGCGUAGCCGACCUGAGAGGGUGAUCGGCCACACUGGGACUGAGACACGGCCCAGACUCCUACGGGAGGCAGCAGUAGGGAAUUUUCCGCAAUGGGCGAAAGCCUGACGGAGCAAUGCCGCGUGAGUGAUGACGGCCUUCGGGUUGUAAAACUCUGUUCUGAAGGAAGAAGUUCUGAUGGUACUUCAGGAGAAAGCCCCGGCUAACUAC
This 452-nucleotide ribosomal RNA is filed under the name uncultured bacterium. RNAcentral's name for it is "bacterial SSU rRNA". It matches the Rfam family "Bacterial small subunit ribosomal RNA", at positions 28 to 504 of the family's 1533-position model. The record is from RNAcentral.